Molecule: ribosomal RNA, 253 nt
Filed under: uncultured bacterium
Lineage: Bacteria
Description: partial 16S ribosomal RNA
Rfam family: Bacterial small subunit ribosomal RNA
Source: RNAcentral
AACGUAGGGGGCGAGCGUUAUCCGGAAUCACUGGGCGUAAAGGGCGUCUAGGCGGUCCAGUAAGUCCUGCGUGAAAGCUCCCGGCUCAACUGGGAGGGCGCGUGGGAGACUGUUGGGCUAGAGACUCGGAGAGGGGUGUGGAAUUCCCGGUGGAGUGGUGAAAUGCGUUGAGAUCGGGAGGAACACCAGUGGCGAAGGCGGCACCCUGGCCGAGUUCUGACGCUGAAGCGCGACAGCGUGGGGAGCAAACGGG